AUACGGAGGGUGCGAGCGUUAAGCGGAAUUACUGGGCGUAAAGCGUGCGUAGGCGGUUUGUUAAGUCAGAAGUGAAAGCCCUGGGCUCAACCUGGGAACGGCUUUUGAGACUGGCAGACUAGAGUUGAGUAGAGGGGAGUGGAAUUUCCGGUGUAGCGGUGAAAUGCGUAGAGAUCGGAAGGAACACCAGUGGCGAAGGCGACUCCCUGGACUCAAACUGACGCUGAGGUACGAAAGCGUGGGUAGCAAACAGGAUUAGAAACCCUAGUAGUCC
Molecule: ribosomal RNA, 274 nt
Filed under: uncultured bacterium
Lineage: Bacteria
Description: partial 16S ribosomal RNA
Rfam family: Bacterial small subunit ribosomal RNA
Source: RNAcentral